AAGCGGCGCACUGGACCACAACUGACGCUGAGGCGCGAAAGCUAGGGGAGCAAACAGGAUUAGAUACCCUGGUAGUCCUAGCCCUAAACGAUGAAUGCUUGGUGUGGUGGGUACCCAAUCCCACCGUGCCGCAGCUAACGCGAUAAGCAUUCCGCCUGGGGAGUACGGUCGCAAGACUGAAACUCAAAGGAAUUGACGGGGGCCCGCACAAGCGGUGGAGCAUGUGGUUCAAUUCGACGCAACGCGAAGAACCUUACCUGGGCUCGAAAUGAAGUGCAUCGGGGUGGAAACAUCCCUUCCCGCAAGGGGCGCUUUAUAGGUGCUGCAUGGCUGUCGUCAGCUCGUGUCGUGAGAUGUUGGGUUAAGUCCCGCAACGAGCGCAACCCUUAUUGCCAGUUGCCAUCAUUCAGUUGGGCACUCUGGCGAGACUGCCGGUGAUAAACCGGAGGAAGGUGGGGAUGACGUCAAGUCCUCAUGGCCUUUAUGUCCAGGGCUACACACGUGCUACAAUGGCCGGUACAAACCGUCGCAAACCCGCAAAGGGGAGCUAAUCGGAAAAAGCCGGCCUCAGUUCGGAUUGGAGUCUGCAACUCGACUCCAUGAAGCUGGAAUCGCUAGUAAUCGCGGAUCAGAACGCCGCGGUGAAUACGUUCCCGGGCCUUGUACACACCGCCCGUCACAUCACGAAAGUGGAUGAUACUAGAAGUCGGUGGGCUAACCCGCAAGGGAGGCAGCCGCCCAAGGUAUGAUUCAUGAUU
Molecule: ribosomal RNA, 758 nt
Filed under: uncultured bacterium
Lineage: Bacteria
Description: bacterial SSU rRNA
Rfam family: Bacterial small subunit ribosomal RNA
Source: RNAcentral